This 484-nucleotide ribosomal RNA is filed under the name uncultured bacterium. RNAcentral's name for it is "partial 16S ribosomal RNA". It matches the Rfam family "Bacterial small subunit ribosomal RNA", at positions 30 to 507 of the family's 1533-position model. The record is from RNAcentral.
AUUGAACGCUGGCGGCAGGCCUAACACAUGCAAGUCGAGCGGAUGAAGGGAGCUUGCUCCUGGAUUCAGCGGCGGACGGGUGAGUAAUGCCUAGGAAUCUGCCUGGUAGUGGGGGAUAACGUCCGGAAACGGGCGCUAAUACCGCAUACGUCCUGAGGGAGAAAGUGGGGGAUCUUCGGACCUCACGCUAUCAGAUGAGCCUAGGUCGGAUUAGCUAGUUGGUGGGGUAAAGGCCUACCAAGGCGACGAUCCGUAACUGGUCUGAGAGGAUGUUCAGUCACACUGGAACUGAGACACGGUCCAGACUCCUAGGGGAGGCAGCAGUGGGGAAUAUUGGACAAAGGGCGAAAGCCUGAUCCAGCCAUGCCGCGUGUGUGAAGAAGGUCUUCGGAUGGUAAAGCACUUUAAGUUGGGAGGAAGGGCAGUAAGUUAAUACCUUGCUGUUUUGACGUUACCAACAGAAUAAGCACCGGCUAACUUCGUG